CCACUGUAUCUCUGUAUUUAUUAUACAACUUCUGCAUGUUGAAGUGUACUUGGAAAAAUGAAAGCAAUACAGGUGUUUCUCGCAGUUUUUCUGUUAUCGGCUAUGGUAGAAAUUGGUAACACUGCACCUUGCUAUUCAAUUGGAGGAUUUUGUACACCGUUUAAAUGUCCUAGAGGUACCUAUUGUGAACACAGGGAUUUCCAUGAGGAUUGUUUGCCUACACACAAUUGUUGUGUCCCAGGUUUUGAAAGGAACAACUGGAAAGUAUAGUCUUCUAUGAUUAACAUUCGUCUCAACUCGGCAGAUUCCGUGGAUAGAAGGAGAGUAGCGGAUUCUACCGAGGAUUGCCGAAUGCUAUGAUUAAAUAUUUGGUUCACUAAAUGCUUUCAAGUC
Molecule: long non-coding RNA, 393 nt
Organism: Mytilus trossulus (common blue mussel)
Lineage: Eukaryota; Metazoa; Mollusca; Bivalvia; Mytilida; Mytilidae
Exons: 3
Source: RefSeq, a predicted model, not a curated record